Molecule: ribosomal RNA, 402 nt
Filed under: uncultured bacterium
Lineage: Bacteria
Description: bacterial SSU rRNA
Rfam family: Bacterial small subunit ribosomal RNA
Source: RNAcentral
UGGGGAAUAUUGGACAAUGGGCGCAAGCCUGAUCCAGCCAUGCCGCGUGAGUGAUGAAGGCCUUAGGGUUGUAAAGCUCUUUCGCCAGGGACGAUAAUGACGGUACCUGGAUAAGAAGCCCCGGCUAACUUCGUGCCAGCAGCCGCGGUAAUACGAAGGGGGCUAGCGUUGUUCGGAAUCACUGGGCGUAAAGCGCAUGCAGGCGGACUGAUAAGUCAGGGGUGAAAGCCCGAGGCUCAACCUCGGAACUGCCUAUGAUACUGUCAGUCUUGAGUCCGGGAGAGGUGAGUGGAACUGCGAGUGUAGAGGUGAAAUUCGUAGAUAUUCGCAAGAACACCAGUGGCGAAGGCGGCUCACUGGCCCGGUACUGACGCUGAGAUGCGAAAGCGUGGGGAGCAAACA